GACGAACGCUGGCGGCGUGCUUAACACAUGCAAGUCGAACGGAAAGGCCCUGCUUUUGUGGGGUGCUCGAGUGGCGAACGGGUGAGUAACACGUGAGUAACCUGCCCUUGACUUUGGGAUAACUUCAGGAAACUGGGGCUAAUACCGGAUAGGAGCUCCUGCUGCAUGGUGGGGGUUGGAAAGUUUCGGCGGUUGGGGAUGGACUCGCGGCUUAUCAGCUUGUUGGUGGGGUAGUGGCUUACCAAGGCUUUGACGGGUAGCCGGCAUGAGAGGGUGACCGGCCACAUUGGGACUGAGAUACGGCGCAGACUCCUACGGGAGGCAGCAGUGGGGAAUAUUGCACAAUGGGCGGAAGCCUGAUGCAGCAACGCCGCGUGCGGGAUGACGGCCUUCGGGUUGUAAACCGCUUUCGCCUGUGACGAAGCGUGAGUGACGGUAAUGGGUAAAGAAGCACCGGCUAACUACGUG
This 468-nucleotide ribosomal RNA is filed under the name uncultured bacterium. RNAcentral describes it as "partial 16S ribosomal RNA". It matches the Rfam family "Bacterial small subunit ribosomal RNA", at positions 28 to 507 of the family's 1533-position model. The record is from RNAcentral.